RNAcentral lists this small nuclear RNA (102 nucleotides) under Canis lupus familiaris (dog). The record is from RNAcentral. Lineage: Eukaryota; Metazoa; Chordata; Mammalia; Carnivora; Canidae. RNAcentral also lists the same sequence under 3 other names.
GUGCUUGUUUUGGCAGUGCCUAUGCUAACAUUGGAAUGACACAUGGAAGGUGGCACAGCCCCCAAGGGUGACAUGCACAUCUGUGAAGCAUUUCACAUUUUC